Molecule: long non-coding RNA, 409 nt
Filed under: Aquilegia coerulea
Lineage: Eukaryota; Viridiplantae; Streptophyta; Magnoliopsida; Ranunculales; Ranunculaceae
Description: long non-coding RNA (ACOE_LNC000571)
Source: RNAcentral
UACUUAGUUUCUUGAUGCAGUCAAACAAUGUUCUCUUAACUAUAUUAUUUGAUCUUUUAGUGAUUUAGACUUCAGAGUAAAAAUCUUUUUUUUUUUUUUUUUUUUUUUUUAUUGGUAAGCAGGGUUGUGGGGACCCUUACCCCAGUAAAUUACGUGUGGAAACUUAUAUCAACAAUCAACUGUUGACGUGUUUCGAACCCACGACCUCUCCACUUUGUGAGAGGGGUGCUACCAUUGAGCCACAGGCUCAUUCGCCUUCAGAGUAAAAAUCUACCAUUGCAUAGUAUAAUUAAGCUCAUGUAAUACUCAUGAGUCUGAAUAUCAUUGGCAUCCAAUAAUGAAAGAGCCUACAUUUCUGUAUGUGAAUGUCUCAUCCAUGAUCGAGUCAAGUAUGUAUAUAAAGGAUUGC